GGGUGUAAAGCGUGCGUAGGUGGCUUGCCAAGUGCUUUGUGAAAUCCCACGGCUCAACCGUGGAACAGCAGGGCAUACUGGCAGGCUUGAGGCAAGUAGGGGCUGACGGAACAGUAGGUGGAGCGGUGAAAUGCGUAGAUAUCUACUGGAACGCCGAUGGUGAAGACGGUCAGCUGGGCUUGUCCUGACACUGAGGCACGAAAGCGUGGGGAGCAAACAGGAUUAGAUACCCUGGUAGUCCACGCCGUAAACGAUGCGCACUAGACCGGUGCGGUUUUGACGCCGUAUCGGUCGUAGUAAAACGAUAAGUGCGCCGCCUGGGGAGUACGGUCGCAAGAUUAAAACU
This 346-nucleotide ribosomal RNA is filed under the name uncultured bacterium. RNAcentral describes it as "bacterial SSU rRNA". It matches the Rfam family "Bacterial small subunit ribosomal RNA", at positions 556 to 901 of the family's 1533-position model. The record is from RNAcentral.